GAUGAACGCUGGCGGCGUGCCUAAUACAUGCAAGUCGAGCGAACAGACGAGGAGCUUGCUCCUCUGACGUUAGCGGCGGACGGGUGAGUAACACGUGGAUAACCUCCCUAUAAGACUGGGAUAACUUCGGGAAACCGUAGCUAAUACCUGCUAAUAUCUUGAACCGCAUGGUUCAAUUGUGAAAGACAGUUUUGCUGUCACUUAUUGAUGGAUCCGCGCCGCAUUAGCUAGUUGGUCAGGUAACGGCUUACCAAGGCGACGAUGCGUAGCCGACCUGAGAGGGUGAUCGGCCACACUGGAACUGAGACACGGUCCAGACUCCUACGGGAGGCAGCAGUAGGGAAUCUUCCGCAAUGGGCGAAAGCCUGACGGAGCAACGCCGCGUGAGUGAUGAAGGUCUUCGGAUCGUAAAGCUCUGUUAUUAGGGAAGAACAAAUGUGUAAGUAACUAGGCACGUCUUGACGGUACCUAAUCAGAAAGCCACGGCUAACUACGUG
This 497-nucleotide ribosomal RNA is filed under the name uncultured bacterium. RNAcentral's name for it is "partial 16S ribosomal RNA". It matches the Rfam family "Bacterial small subunit ribosomal RNA", at positions 28 to 507 of the family's 1533-position model. The record is from RNAcentral.